UGGAGCGCUACCUGGGCGCGGCGGCCCACGGCUGUGGCGGCGCCACCGUGCGCGACGCUCUCUUCGCGGCUAAGGGCCGCGCGGCCGACUGCGAGAGCCCGCGCGAGUUUCGGGAGCGGGCCCUGCGCGCCUGAUGGGUCGAGGCGGACGCGCGGCUGCGUCAGGUUAUUCAAGGACACGGAAAAGCCAACACCAUGGUAGCAUUAAUGAAAGUUUACCAAGAGGAAGAUGAAGCCUACCAGGAAUUAGUUACCGUGGCAACCACGUUCUUCCAGUACUUAUUGCGGCCAUUUAGGGCUAUGCGAGAAGUUGCAACUUUAUAAGUCCUUGGAUGAGGAUGACCUAGGUCCUAGAAGGGUAGUUGCCCUGGAGAAAGAAGCUGAAGAAUGGACCAGACGGGCUGGAGAAGCUGUCGUCUCUAUUCAAGAUAUCACAGUGAAUUAUUUUAAGGAGACAGUAAAAGCAUUAGCAGGAGUUUCUGAUAUAUUGCACAGAAUCAACAAGAUAUAAAGCAGAAUGAUGAUCCUGGUUUUUUGGUCAAACUAUCCAUAUGAGCCUGUCUGUCUAGCUAGUCAUAGAAACAAUAUGGAAGCAAGUGUGCCAAAAUAUAAGAAGCAGUUGCCUCAACUAGGAAUGCAAAAAGAAAUGGAACAGGAUGUGAAGAGACUUGGCCAGGCUGCCUGGGCCACAGCAAUUCCCAGGUUGGAAAAACUUAAGCUAAUGCUAGCUCAAGAGACUCUGCAACUCAUGAGAGCGAAAGAAUUGUAUUUAAAUUGCAAAAGAGCUGAAAUUCAGGGAAAGAUGGAAGAUCUUCCAGAACAAGAAAAAAAUAUAAAUGUUGUAGAUGAAUUAGAAAUACAAUUUUAUGAAAUUCAGUUAGAACUAUAUGAAGUUAAAUUUGAGAUAUUAAAAAACAAAGAAAUACUGCUUACUACACAGUUGGACUCUCUUGAAAGACUUAUAAAAGGUAAAGUUUUUAUUUAAGUAUAUAGAUUACAAUGUUUAUAAAUUUAAGGAAAUACAGACCAUAUUAUCAAUUACUUUUUGUAAACUGUAACAUCUGAAAAUUUCCUAAAGUUUUCCUUCAGUGGUUUAUUAUUCAAAUAAUAUAUUCAUUGUUAGCACAUAGCAAAACAAAGAAAGAAAAAUGAUUAUUACCCCAAUCCCAUCAUCUAGAGAUGCUCAAUGGUUGGCUGGGCACAGUGGCUCAGGCCUAUAAUCCCAGCACUUUGGGAGGCUGAGGCGGGCAGAUCACUUGAGGUCAGGAGUUCCAGACCAGUCUGACCAACAUGGUGAAACCCCGUCUCUACUAAAAAUACAAAAAUACUAAACCCUGUUUCUACUAAAAAUACAAAGUCCAAUGUGGUGGCACGUGCCUGUAAUCCCAGCUACUUGGGAGGCUGAGGCAGGAGAAUGGCUUGAACCCGUGAGGUGGAAGUUUCAGUGAGCCAAGAUCGUGCCACUGCACUCCAGCCUAGAAGACAGAGCAAGACUCCGUCUAAAAAAGAAAAAAAAAAA
Homo sapiens (human) is the source of this 1518-nucleotide long non-coding RNA. The record is from Ensembl. NCBI's taxonomy places the organism in Eukaryota, Metazoa, Chordata, Mammalia, Primates, Hominidae.